GACGAACGCUGGCGGCGUGCUUAACACAUGCAAGUCGAACGGAAAGGCCCUGCUUUUGUGGGGUGCUCGAGUGGCGAACGGGUGAGUAACACGUGAGUAACCUGCCCUUGACUUUGGGAUAACUUCAGGAAACUGGGGCUAAUACCGGAUAGGAGCUCCUGCUGCAUGGUGGGGGUUGGAAAGUUUCGGCGGUUGGGGAUGGACUCGCGGCUUAUCAGCUUGUUGGUGGGGUAGUGGCUUACCAAGGCUUUGACGGGUAGCCGGCCUGGGAGGGUGGACGGCCACAUUGGGACUGAGAUACGGACCAGACUCCUACGGGAGGCAGCAGUGGGGAAUAUUGCACAAUGGGCGGAAGCCUGAUGCAGCAACGCCGCGUGCGGGAUGACGGCCUUCGGGUUGUAAACCGCUUUCGCAUGUGACGAAGCGUGAGUGACGGUAAUGGGUAAAGAAGCACCGGCUAACUACGUG
Molecule: ribosomal RNA, 468 nt
Filed under: uncultured bacterium
Lineage: Bacteria
Description: partial 16S ribosomal RNA
Rfam family: Bacterial small subunit ribosomal RNA
Source: RNAcentral